This 450-nucleotide ribosomal RNA is filed under the name uncultured bacterium. RNAcentral's name for it is "partial 16S ribosomal RNA". It matches the Rfam family "Bacterial small subunit ribosomal RNA", at positions 354 to 796 of the family's 1533-position model. The record is from RNAcentral.
GUGGGGAAUCUUCCGCAAUGGACGAAAGUCUGACGGAGCGACGCCGCGUGAGUGAAGAAGGCCUUCGGGUCGUAAAGCUCUGUCAUCAGGGACGAACGGCCGGUGGAGUGGAAAGCCACCGGAUUGACGGUACCUGAGAAGGAAGCCACGGCUAACUACGUGCCAGCAGCCGCGGUAAUACGUAGGUGGCAAGCGUUGUCCGGAAUUAUUGGGCGUAAAGCGCGCGCAGGUGGGAUCUUAAGUCCAUUUUUAAAGUUCGGAGCUCAACUCCGUGAUGGGAUGGAAACUGGGAUUCUUGAGUACCGGAGAGGAAAGCGGAAUUCCCCGUGUAGCGGUGAAAUGCGUAGAUAUGGGGAGGAACACCAGUGGCGAAGGCGGCUUUCUGGACGGUGUCUGACACUGAGGCGCGAAAGCCAGGGGAGCGAACGGGAUUAGAAACCCCUGUAGUCC